UUACUGUAGGAAGGAAUCGUUGAGAAUCUUUUCAAAUGGGCCCGAGAGGCUGAUCAGCCUUUGAGGACAUAUUCUACUGGACUGUUAGGAGGUGCUAUGGAAAAUCAAGAUAUUGCUGCCAACUAUAGGGAUGAAAAUUCACAGCUGGUAAGCACCAUCUUAGAAUGAAUUGUAGCAUGCUAUGGGAGAGUAUUCCUAAAUUUAUUCUUGCUAUCUGAAUCUGAAUAAGUGAUUAUUUAUACCUUGUACUGCAGCAUAGUUAUAUCAAUAUUUCUUUCUCUUUUUAAAAAACAAAAAUUUUGGAUCCUGAAGGUUCUUUGCCACCCAGCUUCGUCUAUUUUGUUUUUGUUUUUUCCCUUUAAUGUUUUAUUUUGAGACGGUCUUUUUGUUAUUAUUGUUUUGGUAUUGGGUAUUGAACCCAGGGUGCUUUACCACUGAGCCAGAUACUCGGCCCUUUUUAUUUUGAGACAGGGUCUCUCUAAGUUGGUGAGGCUGGCCUGAAGCUUGCACUCUUCAUGCCUCAGCCUCUGAGUCACUGGGAUUAUAGAUGUAUGCAACCAUGUCUGACUCUUCCCCAUCUCUAUUUAAGAUUAAGCAUAAGGGCUGAGAUUGUGGCUCAAUGAUAGAGCACUUGCCUGGCAUGUGUGAGGCACUGGGUUCUAUUCUCAGCAUCAAUAUACCAGUAAAUAAAUAAAAUUAAAAAAUUGAUGGGCUGGGGCUGUGGCUCAAGCAGUGGCGUGCUCGGCUGUCAUGCGUGCGGCCCGGGUUCGAUCCUCAGCACCACAUACAAAAAAACAAAGAUGUUGUGUCCGCCGAUAACUAAAAAAUAAAUAUUAAAAAAAUCCUCUCUCUCUCCCCCCCCCCCACUUUCUCUUAAAAAAAAAAUUGAUCAACAAUGAAUAAAAAUGUAAAAAAAAAAAAAAGACUAAGCAUAAUAUUGCUUCUUAUGGUUGGCCCCCAAAGUAAGUGAUUAAAAGAAAAAGUUAAAAAAAAAAAAAGUUUAUUUGAAAAAUCAAUCAUGGUCAGGAUUGGUGGCACACACUUGUUAGCCCAGUGAUGUAGGAGGCUGAGGUAGGAGGAUCACAAGUUCAAAGCCAAAGCCAGUCUCAGCAACUUAGUGAAGCCCUAAGCAACUUAGCAAGAACCUGUCCUAAAAUUUAAAAAACUGGGUGGUGAUGUGGCUCAGUGGUAAAGUGCACCUGGGUUCAAUUCCUGGCACACCCCCCCCCCCAAAAAAAAAAAAUUAAUCAUGUCAUUAUAUACAGUAUAGAUAAUAUCUACAGUGUAAUAAUUAUCUACAAUGUAGAUGACAAUAUCUAACAGAAUACAACUUAUAAUAGCUUAAAGUUUGAGAAACCUUUAUGUUUGCCUUUCAAAGGCUUUUUAAAAAAAAUCCAUGAUUAAGCCAGAUGUGAUAGUGUAAGCCUGUAAUCCCAGUUUCUUGGGAGGUGAGGCAGGAUUACAAGUUCAAGAUUAGCCUUGGCAAUUUAUCGAGACCUGGUCUCAAAAUAAAAAAAAUUAAAGGGAGUUGAGAGUGUAAUUCAUUGGUGGAGUGUUCACCUCUCAUUUGUGAGUCCCUGGGAUAAAUUCCCAGUGUUGGAAAAAAAUGUAUCUACCUCUUCUGGUUGGAUGGUUCAGCCUACCUUGAAUCAUACCAGGUGAAUUUUAAAUGCCUUUUUGGUGCAAAUCUUCUGAUUUGAGUUCUUUGGGAAAUUAUAUGGGGAUGAAGCUUUUAGCCAUAGUGUAAUUUUAUCAACUUAUAGAAAUCAAAUCAACAAAUUUAUCAAAUUGUUUGCUAUUACUAGGCAUUGUACUGACGGCAUUAGUAUCCAGUUCUUUUUAAGUGGAAAUAAGAAUCAUUUUAAGAAGUAGAAAAGACAACCCCUUUUACACUGAUGUUUGUUGAUAGGUGGCAAUAGUUCUUCGAAGACUGAGGGAGCUACAGCUUCAGGAAGUGGCUUUGCGACAAGAAAAUAAGCGUCCUAGCCCACGGAAACUGUCUUCCGAGCCCCUUUUGCCUCUGGAUGAGGAAGCUGUGGACAUGGACUAUGGUGAUAUGGCAGUAGAUGUAGUGGAUGGAGAACAAGAAGAAGCUUCUGGAGACAUGGAGAUCUCCUUUCAUCUUGAUUCAGGCCAUAAGACCAGUAGUAGAGUAAAUUCAGCAACCAAACCUGAGGAAGGAGGAUUGAAGAAAAACAAGACAGCAAAACAGGGUGACAGAGAGAGCUUUAGGAAAGCCAAACAAAAGUUGGGUUUCUCAUCUUCUGAUCCAGAUCGCAUGUUUGUUGAGCUAUCUAACAGCAGCUGGUCAGAAAUGUCCCCCUGGGUGAUUGGCACCAAUUAUACCCUAUAUCCUAUGACUCCCGCUAUUGAGCAGCGACUCAUUCUCCAAUAUUUGACCCCUCUAGGAGAAUACCAGGAGGUAAGCUUAUUGGGAAGUGUAUUGUUCACACUUUGGGACUAUAUAUUUCUGGGUUAUUUAGUAGCACUUUAUACAUUUUUAUGUUUCUUAACUCUACUAAAGAAGAAAGAGGCUUUGUCCCAAACUGGUAAGGUCUUGUGUAGGUCACUUCUGGUAAAAUUUUUUCUUUCAAACUAUGGUCCUAUGUUUAUUCUUGAUGAGGAAGUAGAGGAAGAGGUGCUUAUUUCUUCUUUAUUCAAUGUGAAAAAUAAAGCCAGAAUUUAAGAUUUAUUUUUGGUCUUCCAUUUCAGUUACUUCCCAUAUUCAUGCAGCUUGGAUCACGGGAGUUGAUGAUGUUCUAUAUUGACUUGAAACAGACUAAUGAUGUCUUGCUUACAUUUGAGGCCCUCAAGGUAAAGUUGUUAUAAAUACUAGGGCACUGAGCAUUUUAUUGGUAGAAACUUUUUAUAUUUAUUCUGCUUUAUAGAGUGGGUACAGUGGGUACUGUUGUCAAGCCCCCUGCUAUUUGCAUUGUAUUCCCAGCCCUUAAACUUGUCUGCCCAGAGAGGCUAGUGGGAUUUGAACAGUAAAUGAAGAAAACUUAAAAUAUAAAAAGCUUUUCAGUUCUUUUAAAAUCUAUUCUUAUUAGUUGUAAAAAUUUCCAGUUUUGAUACUUAGGAUAGUUCUUUGGGAAUAUAUUGAGGGUCAAUUUAAAGAAGCUAAGUUCAGGACUUUAUUAAUUGAGUCAAUACUGAAUCAAAGCUAGAACACAGAACCAAUUAUAUUAAAAUAACUUAAGGGGGGGCUGGGAUGUGGCUCAAGCGGUAGCGCGCUCGCCUGGCAUGCGUGCGGCCCGGGUUCGAUCCUCAGCACCACAUACAAACAGGGAUGUUGUGUCCGCCAAAUACUAAAAAAUAAAUAUUAAAAAAUUCUCUCUCUCUCUACCUCUAUCUCUCUCACUCUCUCUUUAAAAAAAAAUAAAUAAAUAAAUAAAUAAAAUAACUUAAGGGGAAGGUUAGCAAAAGUCCUUUAGAGAGGUAUGCACAAAUAAAAUGACUUUAUAAGAUUGUAUUGUUAUUCAGCAAUAUUUUUCUUUUUUUUUGUUUUUUUGGUACUAGGGAUUGAAUAUAGGAAUACUUUACCACUAAACUAUAUCUUCAGCCCUUCUUAUUUUUUAUUUUGAGACAGGUUCUCGAUAAGUUGGUGUGGGUCUUGAUAGGAUGCUGAGCCUGGCUUCAGCCUCCUGAGUUGCUGGGAUAACUGGAGUGUACCACCACACCUGGCUUAUUGUUUUUAAUUUCACAAAAACAUUUUAGUGGACUGGGGUUGUUGCUCAGUGGUUUUGGAAGGAUUUGGGUUCAAUCUCCAGCACAAAACAAAUAAACAGACAAACCAUUUAAAAGAAACUUUGGUAUUAGGAGGGCAGAGAGUAAUGUCUUGAAAUCUUAAGGUUUUUUUUUUUUUAUUUUUGUUUUUUUCAUUUCUGUUAAUAUUGGCUUUUCUUUUUUUUUUGUGAGAAAGUGGUUGUCUACUUAGAGAAGUCUUGUAUUUAGCACUUUAAUCUUACUUUGAUGUUCAUAGAUUUUUGUGAUUCUUUAAGAUUGUUCCAUGAUAACAUGUGUCUUUGUUGUUCAGCAUCUGGCAUCUCUCCUGCUCCAUAACAAAUUUGCCACAGAAUUUGUUGCCCAUGGUGGAGUACAGAAAUUACUGGAAAUUCCUCGUCCUUCUAUGGCAGCAACUGGUGUAUCCAUGUGCUUGUAUUACCUGUCCUAUAACCAGGAUGCUAUGGAAAGAGUAAGUCCAUUCAGGUUUAUGAGAAAGGGAUUGGGUGGGGACAGACUUUAAAAGAGCACAUUGAGCUAGGCAUGGUAGCACCCUGCUAUAAUAGAAGCCAGCUGGGAGACUAAGACAGAAGGAUAGAAAGUUUGAGGCCAGGCUCAGCAGCUGAGAGAGGCCCUGUCUAAAAAUACAAAAUAAAAAGGGCUAGGGAUAUGAUUCAGUAGUAGAGCACUCCUGGGUUCAAUCUCUAGUACUAAAUAAAUAAGAUAAUCAUAGAAUAACUUGGAUGAGGAAAAAAUGAAUAGUUGUAGAACUAAAUUCUAACGAAAAAUUGCAAGGAAUAUGAACAACCACUUUUCACAAAGCAUUUUAUAAAAGUAAAAUUGUUUAGGAAAGGUUCUAAAAAAUUUCUGACUCUACUUGGAAAAUGCAGGAUGGGUUGCAGUUCUAGAAGCUUUAUUUAUUUUUUGCCAUUUCUGUGGCAUUAAAAUUAGGCACUAUUCCGAUGUUCCUCAGUAACUCCACUGAGGAACUGUUUGAAUCCGUUUAUUGCAAAAAUGAUAGAUGAUAUUUUGUGUUUAUUAUGAGAUAAUUUAUGGUGGAGAUAGUGAAAUCAUCCCAGCUCUUCUCAGGGCUAUAGUUGUUUUGUGUUUGGUUCUGCUGCUUUUCAGGUUAAUCCUCUUUUAUGCUUAGUGAUUUAAAAAAAAAAAAAAAGUAUGAGUGGUGUUGGACAUUUGAAAAGUGAAUCUCCCCCAACCCCGAACCCUUAGGGAAGGUCUUGUCAUUUCUGAAAUGUUUUUCUAAUACUCAGUGGGCAUAUCUAUUCUGCUAAAGCAAAACUGGCAAUUUUUUUUUUAAAUUGAGCUCUGUCUUUGCUUAUUCAGAUAAUCAUCUGGGUUUGGUGUCAAACAAGUUUAUAAUCCUAGCUACGUGGGAGGCCGAGGCAGGAGGAUUGCAAGUUUGAGGCUAGCCUGGGCAAUUUAGCAAGACUUUGUCUUGAAAUAAAUGUAAAAAAAGGAUUGGGGAUGUAGCUCAGUCUUAGAGUCCUUGCCUAGUAAGUGUGAAGCCCUGGGUUUGAUCUCCAGUACAGCCAAAAAAAAAAAUUUCCCCUCUUCAGUUGAACAUUAUGCAAGGAGAUUGAGAAUAGUAAACUAAGCUGUGUAUAACAAAAUUAAUUAUAGUUAAGAUAUAGAAAAAGGCAACAGACCUGGGGAAUGCUUUGUCUAACUCAUAGCAUACAUCAAAAUGCAUAUAAAUAAAUUAAUGAGUCAAUGGAAACUAAACUUGUAGACUUCGUAGGCUCAUCUACUUUUAUCACCUCAGGAAGGGUGAUAAUUUCUCUGAGCCUCUUCCUCAUCUGUUAAGUGGAGAUCAAGUAUCUAUGUAACAGGGCCAUGUGAGCAUUAAAUGAUAACAUUUGUUGGUACUCAGUAUAGGAUAAAUUAGAAUAACUAAAUUUAGGUAGUUUUCAAAGGAUGUGUUCUAAAAUUGCAUUGUAACUUAAACUAAGAAUGAUGACUGGGAAAGAUUAUUAUUUUCUGUAAAGAUAUUUAUACUGAUGAAUUUUUCAUCUCUUUCAAAGAGUCCUUUGCCCACAAUUUUUUUUAAAAAAAACUAUUAUUAUUUUAUUUUUUGCAGGUUUGCAUGCAUCCCCACAAUGUUUUGUCUGAUGUGGUGAACUAUACCCUGUGGUUAAUGGAGUGUUCUCAUGCCUCAGGAUGCUGCCAUGCUACCAUGUUUUUCUCAAUUUGCUUCUCAUUCCGGGCUGUGUUGGAACUCUUUGACCGCUAUGAUGGUCUUCGUCGUCUGGUGAACUUGGUAAGCAUUUUUUACCUUCUCUUGGCAGGAGUGCAGAGAUCCUGCUUGUUUUGGCUGCUUUUAAUAGCAUCCCAAUGAGGAGAGGAAGCUUCUGAUUGGAGGAGUUUUGUUAUCAUUCUUUGUGUACAUUUUUUUCUCCUUCUUUUGUGGUACUGAGGAUUGAAGCCAGAGCCUCAAGCAUGCUAUAGAAGGUGGGUGCUGGAGAUUGAACCCAGGGUGUCACACAGGCUCUGCCUCUGAACAACAUCCCCAGCCCCAUUCCCUUUCUCUUUAAUAGUUGGAGGACUCUUUGUGCCAUUAUAGACUGGCUUUGAAUGCAGUAAUCCUAUGUCAAUCUUGACCUUUCUAAGAGCAAAAGCUUUAUGCCUAUAUAUCUUUUAACAUAAUUAAAAGCUGCGUAAUUUUUUUUAUGUGAGUAUAAUGUUUUGUUUUCAUAUGGCUAUAGCCUGUUGUAUAUGUAGAUUUACUUUGAUAUUUGUUCAUCUUUUAGGCAUAAAAGUCUACCUUGUUUUGGGGGCUGGGGUUGUGGCUCAGUGGUAGAGUGCUUGGCUCACAUGUGUGAAGCACUGGGUUCAAUUCUCCGAACCUCAUAUAAAUAAAUGAAUAAAAUAAAGGUCCGCCAACACUAAAAAAUAUUUUUAAAAAAGUCUACCUUGUUUUCCUUUUACAUUUCUUGUCCUUUCUCCUCCUUCUGCCUCAAUUUUUAAUGUUUAUUAAUAGAUCAGUACUUUGGAGAUUCUAAAUUUGGAAGAUCAGGGUGCACUUCUGAGUGAUGAUGAAAUAUUUGCUAGCCGUCAAACUGGGAAACAUACCUGCAUGGCCUUGCGCAAGUAUUUUGAGGCUCACCUGGCCAUUAAAUUGGAACAAGUGAAACAGUCACUUCAGAGAACUGAGGGUGGCAUUCUUGUUCACCCUCAACCCCCAUACAAGGUAAGAGGUUGUAUUCUGUUUUUGUGUUAUUGGGGAUUGAAUCCAGGACCUUGUGCUUACUAGGAAAACUGAGUUACACCCAGUCCAAGGAUAUAGUUUUUAAAGAUUACUCUUGUUCCCACACACAGUUGCAUCACCAGAUCAGUGGAAUUUCUGUAAGAUAAUGCAUUGUUGAAUUUUACUUUCCCUGUAUGAAGCAAAACAAUUGAAAAUAUAUAUAAUAGGUGAAUUUCAGUGGCAUAUUUUGCUGUCAGUUACUAAGUCAUUAUUUUUCUGGGACACUAAAACUAAAGGGUGAACUUAAAUGUGUGUUAAGGAGCUCGUAAUUUUUGUUUACUGAUUUUUUUUUUGUUGUUGUUGUUUUGUUUUGUACUGGGGAUUGAAUCCAGGGUCUUGAGCAAGUGCUGUACUAGUGAGUUAUAUCCCCAGCCCUUUAAAGAGUUUUCUUCUCUGAAAAGUACUAGACAUUCUGCCUCUUGUGCAGAAUUAUUUUUGGAAAGAGUAUGUCUAUAUCUCUACUUUUCUUUCAUUUUGGAAUUUAUUUGUUAUAUUUUGGGACCAAGAUCAGUAUUUGCAUGUUUUAAAAAUCAGCAGAUUGAAAAUAUAUCAAUUCCCUGUUGCUUCUUUCUCUCUCUUUUUUUUUGGGGUGGGGUACUAGGGAUUGAACCCAGGGGCCUUUUGCUGCUCAGCUACUUACUGUGAGUCUCUUAUUUUGAGACAGGGUCUUGAUAAGAUGCUGAGGAUUUUGCUAAGUUGCUGAGACUGGCUUUGAUCUUGUGAUCUUUCUGCCUCAGCCUCUUGAGUCACUGGGAUUACAGGCAUGUACCACCAUGCCCAUCUUAUUUUUUAAGCUAUGAAACAUAUGUACAAAAUAACAUUGUUAUUUUAUUGGGAAAAAUGUGAGUCUGUAGUUAAAAAUAAACAAAUGUGGUCUGGGGUUGUGGCUCAGUGGUAAAGCACUUGCCUUGAAUUUUGAGGCACUGGGUUCGAUUCUCAACACCACAUGUAAAUAAAAAAUAAAGGUCCAUCAACAACUAAAAUAAAUAAAAUAAAAAAAAGUUAUGUAAUCAUUGUUUCACAUAUUGGCUAUUGACUCAAGAAUUAUGGUAUUGGAAAGCUAUUAUCAAAAUCUGUUGGUCACUGAGCUGUGCUUCAGAAGAUGACAGGCAGAUAAUAGAGUAUAUAUAAAAAUAACAUGUAUGUCUCCUUAUAGGCAUGUUCAUAUACUCAUGAACAGAUUGUGGAAAUGAUGGAGUUUUUGAUAGAAUAUGGCCCAGCUCAGCUAUACUGGGAACCAGCUGAAGUCUUCCUCAAACUUUCUUGUGUGCAACUCUUGUUACAGCUUAUUUCUAUUGCCUGCAAUUGGAAGACCUAUUAUGCAAGGUGGGACCAGAGAAAGGUUUCAAAUGAAGUUCCAUCCUGCUUUUUGCUUUUAUUAAAAUUGAUGUUGGUUUGGUUUGCACAUUGUGUACACUUAACAAACAUUUAUUGAAUUUAGACUUGAAUUUGAGAAAUGAAAUUAAGCACAAAAAUUUGAUUUUAAUUUACAGAGUGCUUGUUCCUAUAUAUGGUCUUGGCGAUUGUAAACAUUACAUGGUAGACAAGGAUCAACAAUUUAUACUCUCAGAAGUUAUGUAAUUUACAUAUCUUUAUCAUAGAGCUGGGUUUGAAGUCCUCUCUUGAAGCUGGAGUCCUUGUUUUUUGGUACUUAAACUUUUUGAAUAUCUUUAGCUUGACAGUCGUGUAUUGUUUAUCGUAGAACUGUCUUUUUGCUCUUUGGAUCAACACACUGUAAUGAUUUUCACAAUUCUGUGAAAUUAAAGGCAGUCAGCAGAGUAGGGUGAAUCUCAGAAGAGGGCAGCUGAUAUAGUAGGGAGGUUGGGUGGUUCUGUUUUGAGAAUGAUGUAAAAAUAAUUAAAACUAUAAUUUGAAAAAGAUGGGGGUUUGAAGAGAAUAGUAAAGAAGUUUAUAAAUAGCAUUUCUUGACCUCCCCCUUUUCCAUGUCUACCCAUUGCUAUAAAGACAGUUGGGGCUUAUUAGAGGAAGUAUAUAGCUUGUUUGCUAAAUUCCAGUAUACUAAAUCUAGUAGGGUACUUUUGAAGCAACCGUUCUCUAACUUCCUGGCCUAAGGACCCUUUUACCAUAUUAAAAAUAAGAAGGAACUCUGAAGAGCUUUUUUUUUUUUGUUAUGUUUAUCAGUGUCUACUGUCUUAGAUAUUAAAACAAAAUGUAAAACUAUAAAUUUACUUUAAUGUGAUCCCAUUGAAUUUUAGCAUUUUUUUAUGAAAAAUUUCUAAAAUAAAACCAGAUGAUUUAGCAAAGCUUUAAAAAAAAGGGUUGGCUUAAUAUUUUACAUCUUCUUUAUAUUCAGUCUUGUAACAUUACAUAUCACAUAGUUUUUGGAAGACUCAUAUUUGGGGCUGGGGUUGUGGCUCAGUGGUAAAGUGCUUGCCUUGCACAUGGGAGGCAUUGGGUUCUAUUCUCAGCACCACAUAAAAAAGUAAAUAAACAAAAUAAAGUUCUUGUGUUCAUCUACAACUAAAAAUACUCUUUAAAAAAAGACGCAUUUGUGAGAGAAUGAGAGUGAGAAAGGAAAAUAACAUCUUAACAUUUUUAUGAACAUAGCUUAACUUAAUGGAACCUUCUAAAAGGGUCUUGAAGACUUCUGGGAUUCACUUGUCUGCAGCUUGGGAACCAUUGUCAUGUGUGUAUGUGUGUAUUUAUUUAAAAGCAGUGUGGGUGAUCAAACUCCAAGAUCUUGAGCAUGUUAGGCAAAUGCUCUAUCACUGAGCUAUAGUGUCAUUUAGUAAAUAGAUGGUACCUGAGCCCUGAGAACUGCUUUUUUAUAGUAUUGGAAAUAUGUAGGUUAAUAUAUUUACUUGGAGAAUUACUUAAAAGAUAAUGAAAGCGUGUUGAGCAUGGUGGUGCACACGUGUAAUUCCAGUGACUUGGGAGUCUGAGGCAGUACAAAUUUGAGACAAAGUGAGGCCUCAAGCAACUUAGAAAGAUCCUGUCUCAAAAAAUAAAAAGGGCUGGGGAUGUGGCUCAUGCUGAAGUACUCCUGGGUUUAGUCCCCAGUACCAAAUAAAAGAUAGUCAGGAAGGAUAUUAAUAUACAUUGUUUUGACUGAUAUAUAUAUAUUUAUUUAUUUAUUUAACUCAUUACAAUUCUUAAUGUAAAAAUAUGUCAUUGAUUUAAAAAGCAUAUGCAGGGGCUGGGAGUAUAGUUGAGUCGUAGAGCAUUUGCCUAACCCAUGUCCUAGUUUUGAUCCUUACUACUGCAGAAAGAAAGGCUUAUUUAUUUUUUUAUGUGUGGUGCUAGAGAUUGGACUCAAGGCCUUGUGCUUGCUAGGUAAGUGCUCUAACCUGAGCUACAACUCCAGCUGAAAUAUUUUUUUUUAAAAUAAAAUUAAUAGGCCAGGCGUGGUGGCACACACCUGUAAUCCCAAUGGCUUGGGAGGCUGAGGCAGGAGGAUUGUGAGUUGAGAGCCAGCCUCAGCAACUUAGUGAGGCCCUGAGCAACUCAAUGAGACCCUGUCUCUAAAAUAAAAUAUAAAAAGGUCUGGGGAUAUGGCUCAGUGGUUAAGUGCCCCAGGUUCAAUCCCUGGUACUAAAAAAUAAAUAAAAGAGAAAAAAGAAAAAUAAAGUUAAUAAAUGCUUGCUUUGACCUUACAAUAUACAGAACCUUACAAAAAGAAAAUUACUUUUAAUCACCAUUAAUUUUCUCUUUUUUCAUAAUAUAUACAUAGUUAAGAUUAUUAUAUUUGGUCACAUUCAUCUUUUUCUGUGAAGUAUUUCAAACACAAAAAGGAAAGGCAUGUAACAACUGUUGUGUAUUCAUCUUCAUAUGCUUUAUCCUCAGUUUCAUUCUUUUUUCCUACCUCCCCAGGGUGACCAGUUUUCUGAAUUCUGUCCAUUAAUGUUCUUUAUACUGUACAUAUCUGCAUGUCCAUAAACAAUUAUAUAGUACUGCUUUGUGUGUUUUUAAAUUAUAUGAAUGUUUUCCUACAUCUACCUUUUGCAAUCGCACAUUCUUAUUUUUGUGAAAUUCAUACAUGUUAAUAUUUGUUUAAACUGUUAUAUUCCUAAAUAACGGUUUGUUUCCAUUUGCAUUUAGUGUCAUUUAGUAAAUAGAUGGUACCAUACUUCCUUUUGGAGUGUUGAAGAUAUGUAUAGAACCUGGGUUGUGGGGUGUCUUCAUUUUCACCGUAGUUGGGUAUUGCCAAACAUUGUAAAAUGACCUUAACCUUUUCUUCUGUCAUUAGCAUAGGGGAGCUUGGUGGUGUUGGAGUUUCAAUUUUGUAUCUUACAUUAUUUUCUGUUUCCUUGAUGUGUAUUUUGAGCCCUGUUCCUUGUCCUUUAGAGUGGUUUGAAAAUUAUUGUCAUUAACUGCAGGGUAGUUUAUCAUGUUUUUGAAUUCUGCAGCAUUUCAGAUUUGGAUUUUUGGAUUUUGGAUGCUCAACUGGUAAUGUCUAUGCUAAUAUUCCAAAAUUCAGAAAACACUGAAAUCUGAAGCACUUCUGUCCCAAGUAUUUUGGAUAAGGAAUCCUUAGUCUGUACAUAAAUACUUCUUUGUACUUAAGUUUGGUUUCUUAGGACAGAUUGCUAAAGGGUCAAUUCCUGGGCUAAAGAUUAUGAAUAUUUUAAGAAUCAUGUUUCAUAUCUCCAGAUUGCUUCUAGAGUGUCCUGUUUAUCUUCUUCAGCAUCAAGGAGGAGGAGGAGGAGGAGGAGCAUGAUGAUUUUUGGUUCUAGGGAUUGAACCCAAGGCCUCAAGUGUUCUAUUUGAUAUCUGAACCGUAUCCCCAACCCUUUUUAAUUUUUAUUUUGAGACAGGGUCUUCCUAAGUUGCUUUGGCUGCCCUCAAACUUACAAUUGUUCUGCUUCCUGAUGAGUAGCUGGAAUUAUAGUCAUGGACCACCAUGGCUGGCUAAUUUUUUGUCUUUAAUUUUAGGACUUUGAUAGGUAAAAAUUCAUCCCUGUGUUUUUUGGAAGUAAUGUCAUUGUGACAUAUUCAUUUGAUGCUACUAGUAAUAGAGUUCACCAGUGGUAAUCAUGAUCUGUUGUUUUCCUUUCUCUUUAAAAAAACUGUUAUAGUUUCUUGUGACUAUAUCAUAGUUUGCCUUUGACUAAUUGUUCUUCCUGUCUAGGAAUGACACUGUGCGCUUUGCUUUGGAUGUCCUGGCUAUUCUCACUGUGGUGCCAAAAAUCCAGCUCCAGUUGGCAGAAUCAGUGGAUGUAUUGGAUGAAGCUGGCUCUACCAUCUCCACUGUAGGUAGGUUGACAUUUUUGUUGUUGCUUUGUGUGAAUUUGUUAUCCUUUGCUGGUUGUGGUUACUUACCUAAUUUUGGGAUAUUAGAACAGAAAGUAGUAGAGGAAGGUUCCUUGUUUUUCCUCUUAUAAAUAGCACCAUAUAGUUUCACAUAAGGGAGUCAUGCUAGUAAAUUCAGGGUUUGUGAGUGGUUCAGGCAUUUCUGCUAUAAUGGUAGGUGUGCAUUUCCGAACACAUUACAGUGCAGAGUGUUGCACUAAAAAUAAAGUUUAUGGUGUAAUGGGUUGUGGCCAGUAGUAAAAGACUGUUUUCUAACUGUUUUGUGGAAGCAGCUUUGUAAUCUGAACACUAAAAAUAAUCAGUAAUAGAGGGGCAACUCAAAAUGUUUGGCAACCAUACACAAGGAAAAUAGCUUUUAUUUGAAGAUAUUCCUUUAUUAAGAGCAGGUUUCUGAGGGUACUAUAUUGAAGUUAGCAAGGGAGAUAAUGUUACUGACUCUGGUUCCUGGAGUACACCACUCUGCUGGGGGCACUUGGUUUUAUUUAUUUAUUUAUUUGCUUUAAUGAUGUGUCCCUGGCAAGACUGCUAAAACCAGAUGUUGUAUCACCACUGCUGUGAGGAGAAAGCCAAAGGUUCAGGCACUUGUAUUUAUUCAUUCAUUCAUUCAUUCAUUCAUUUAUUUAUUUAUUUUUGUGGUACUUGGGAUUAAACUCAAUGUUGCUCUACUGCUGAGAUACAUUCCCAGCCCUUCUUUUUUUUGGGGGGGGGGGGGUACCGGGGAUUGAACUCAGGGGCACUUGACCUCUGAGCCACAAUCCCCAGGCUUAUUUUGUAUUUUUUAGAGAUGGAGUCUUACUAAAUUGCUUUGCACUUUGCCAUUGCUGAGGCUGGCUUUGAAUUUUGCGAUCCUCCUGUGUUAACCUUCUGAGCUGCUGGGAUUACAGGUGUGAGCCACUGUGCCCAAUCCCAGACAUUUUUAAAUUUUUUAUUUUGAAACUGAAUCUCACUAAGUUUCUGAUGCUGCCCUCGAAUUUGUGGUUCCCUUGCUUCAGCUCCCGAGUUGCUGGGAUUAUAGGCAUAAUGCACUGUGCCUUGUUCUGGCUAAUUUUCUUAAUAUGUAGUGGAAAAGGUUCCCACUGCCAUGGUAGCAGCUGAACUCUGAGGGCUCUUUCUUUUCCUGUAGAAGUUUUUAAUUUAUUCCCACUCUUUUGUUCCCCUUACUUAGGAAAAUUUGUGCAUGAACCUUGGUGACUUACACAUAAUACUAAUAUUAUUUGCUUAUUUAAUAACUACAUGUGAGGUAUUAUAUUAUAAAGUUACAUUGUAACUAACUGAGCAUGGUGGCAUACCUGUAAUCCCAGUAAUUUAGAAGUCUGAGGCAGGAGGAUUGCAAUUUUGACUAGCCCUGUCUCAAAAACUUUAAAGGGAUGGGGAAAUUUAAAAAAAGGAAAAAAAAAAAAAUUAGUGGGAAUGUAGUUCAGUGAAAGAGUGCCCCUGGGUUCAAUCCCCAGUAUCACAGAAACAAAACCAAAAAACAUUAUAGUAGAACUGAUUGUAUUUUAUGCAAAAAAUUUCUUGUACUUUAAAAAAAAUAUAGGUUUUUUCUCCCCCCUAUUCAACCAAUAAUUAGAACUCCAAAUUUUGGUUCUGGGACAACCAGUAAAGUGUUAACCAUUUGUUUUGUGAGAAAUAAUAUAUAUUUUUUCCCUCUCAUAGGUAUCAGCAUUAUUUUAGGAGUGGCUGAGGGUGAGUUCUUUAUCCAUGAUGCUGAGAUUCAGAAGUCUGCACUUCAGAUUAUCAUCAAUUGUGUGUGUGGCCCGGAUAACCGAAUAUCUAGUAUUGGCAAAUUUAUUUCUGGAACUCCUCGCAGAAAGUUGCCUCAGACCCCCAAGAGCAGUGAGCACACCCUGGCCAAGAUGUGGAAUGUGGUUCAGUCUAACAAUGGCAUCAAGGUGCUUCUGUCUUUGCUGUCCAUCAAGAUGCCCAUCACAGAUGCAGACCAGAUUCGGGCCCUGGCUUGCAAGGCUCUGGUGGGCCUGUCUCGCAGUAGCACUGUCCGGCAGAUCAUCAGCAAACUGCCCCUUUUCAGCAGCUGCCAGAUCCAGCAGCUGAUGAAGGAGCCUGUGCUGCAGGACAAGCGUAGUGACCAUGUCAAAUUCUGCAAGUAUGCCGCUGAACUCAUUGAACGGGUGUCAGGAAAGCCACUUCUCAUUGGCACUGAUGUCUCCCUGGCACGGCUGCAAAAAGCAGAUGUUGUUGCCCAGUCAAGAAUCUCCUUCCCUGAGAAAGAGCUGCUUCUGUUGAUACGAAACCAUCUCAUUUCUAAAGGGCUUGGAGAGACAGCAACUGUGCUGACAAAAGAGGCUGACCUGCCCAUGACUGCUGCCUCCCAUUCUUCUGCCUUCACCCCAGUAACUGCUGCUGCUUCUCCUGUCUCUCUUCCUCGAACGCCUCGUAUUGCUAAUGGCAUUGCAACUAGAUUGGGUAGCCAUGCUGCUGUGGGUGCUUCUGCUCCUUCUGCCCCUACUGCCCAUCCUCAGCCACGGCCCCCACAGGGUUCAUUAGCUCUGCCUGGUCCAUCUUAUGCAGGCAACUCCCCUUUGAUUGGUAGGAUCAGUUUUAUUAGAGAGAGGCCGUCACCCUGUAAUGGCAGAAAAAUCAGAGUGUUGCGGCAGAAGUCGGACCAUGGUGCCUACAGCCAGAGCCCAGCCAUAAAAAAGCAGUUGGACAGACAUCUUCCUUCCCCACCUACGCUGGACAGUAUCAUCACAGAAUAUCUUAGAGAGCAACAUGCUCGCUGCAAGAAUCCAGUUGCCACCUGUCCACCUUUCUCUCUCUUUACUCCUCACCAAUGUCCUGAGCCAAAACAGAGGCGGCAAGCGCCAAUAAACUUUACCUCAAGGCUAAACCGCAGGGCAUCAUUUCCAAAAUAUGGAGGGGUAGAUGGCGGAUGCUUUGAUAGGCACCUUAUCUUUAGCAGGUAAGGAGAGCCUCCUUUGUGGAAAUUGGAAUGAUUCUUAUAUUUAGAUCAAAGUGUUUGGGCAGUAUCGGCACAGUGAUUAGUUAAGAAAGCCAUUGUUGGCCUGAAAUACAAGUUUGUCAUUGUGUCUACACAAGUGAUAUAAGUGUACCACCUUUUGUCAACCAUAGAUUCCUUGUGUUAUUGUUGACAAUAUAUUGAUAUGAUAGUCAAAAGCAGUUUAUUUUCUAGAACCCAUACAACACACCACCCCUAGUCAAGCUUUCAAACUUGUCUUUGUCCAAGUUGCCUUCCAUUCUUAUCCUUUACAAACCUAACAUAAAGGUGGUGUGAUCACAGCUUUAAAAUGGGAAUCUUUGUUUAAUUUGUAAGUGCAUUUGUGCAUUUCUGAACCCCUUACACUUCAGAGUCUUGCACUAAAAAUAAAGUUUAUGGUGUAACAGGUUGUGGCCAGUAGUAAAGACUGUUUUCUAACAGUUUGUUAAGAGCGGCUUUGUAACCUGAACACUAAAAAUCAUCAGUAAUAGAUGGGCAACUCAAAAUGGUUGGCAACCAUUUUGAAGCAGGUUGGCAACCUGUUUCACUUUUCUUGCUAAGGAUUGUUAAUUUCUCAUUUAAAAUGAAAAUGAACCAUGAAGGUCAUUGAUAUUUCAGAAAAGCUUACUUUUUGAAAUGUAAUUCUGUUUUUUCUUUAUUCUUUCUAGCAGAUUUUCCUUUUCAGAGUUCUUGUAUAUAUCUUUUGCCUCUGAUUCUCAGUUUUUUAUUUUUUGCUUAGAUUUCGCCCUAUUUCAGUGUUUCGGGAAGCCAAUGAAGACGAGAGUGGCUUUACCUGCUGUGCAUUCUCAGCACGAGAGCGGUUCUUGAUGCUUGGUACCUGCACAGGGCAGCUGAAGCUGUACAAUGUAUUUAGUGGACAGGAGGAGGCCAGCUAUAACUGUCACAACUCAGCCAUCACACACCUUGAACCCUCCAGGGUAAGUGCUUCUUCCCUGGAUGCUCUCAAUCAUUCUGAGACAGGUUGGUGAAGUGGAGAAAAGGAGACUCACCUUUGUUGGGUCUGAUUCUUUUUGAAUCAGGUGGAAAUUCUAGUUGAAGAUGACUUGUAUUUCAGAGGAAUAUGGCCAGGUAUUAAGAAGAGAGGAAUCAUCACUGACAUCUUUACAACAUAUUGGAGCUAUUUAAAACAAUUUUUUAAAAACUAGUUUAGGAGGAUUUACUGUUCUUAUAAUUAUUUUCUAGGGCACUACAGGUUCUUAUAUUUAAAUCCUACUGGUUUCUGAGUAUUUCUUGGUUCUGGAGAGUUUUUUAUUUUUUCUUGAAUCAAAUGUUUUUUAUCUUUGUAUGUUAAAAUGCUAAUGUCAGAGACAUCUGCAUAUGUGUAAAUACAUGUUUACCCACCUUGGGUCUCCUCCUCCUUUUAGGAUGGGUCCUUGCUGCUGACAUCUGCUACCUGGAGCCAGCCUUUGUCUGCACUUUGGGGAAUGAAAUCAGUAUUUGAUAUGAAGUAUGUAUUAUUUACUUUUGUAGUCUCAUGUCUCUGUGUUUUCAUUACUUAAUUUGUAUCCCCCUUCAUCUGGUUUUAGACAAGGAGCCUUUUGGGAAAAAAUGAGGCUCAUGUUUAAUAAGAUUUUAUCUUUCUCAUUUUCUCGAUAUUCUUUUUUUUUUAAAAAAAAUAUUUUUUUUUUGGAGUUGGACACAAUAAUUUUAUUUAUUUUUAUGUGGUGCUGAGGAUCAAACCCAGGGCCUUGCACAUGUGAGGCGAGCGCUCUAUUGCUGAGCCAUAACCUCAGCCCCAUCAUUAUCUAGAUAUUCCUUUUUUUAAAUAAAAAUAUUUAUUUUUUAGUUUCAUGUGGACACAAUAUCUUUAUUUUAUUUUUAUGUGGUGUUGAGGAUCGAAUCCAGAGCCCCACGCAUGCCAGGCUAGCAUGCUACCGCUUGAGCCACAUCCCCAGCCCUAGAUAUUCUUUUUAAAAAUAUUCUUUUAGUUGUAGAUGAACCCACAGUAUCUUUAUUUAUUUUUUAUGUGGUGCUGAGGAUUGAACCCAGUGCCUCACACAUGCGAGGAAAGCGCUUUACCACUGAGCUAUAUAGCCCCAGCCCUCUAGAUAUUCUUAUGAAGUGUUUACAUUCCAGUUGUGCAGCAGACCCUUGACUAACCCAUAAUGACACAUUUAUGGUUUUUUUUUUCCCCUAAGUAUUUACAUAGGGUAUAAUUGCACUGUUUGCUGGGGUGUUUCUUUUUCUUUUUUUAAAUGUUUACUUUUUAGUUGUAGUUGGACACAAUACCUUUAUUUUAUUUAUUUUUAUAUAGUGCUGAGGAUUGAACCCAGGGCCUCGCACGUGCUAGGUGAAUGCUCUGCCGCUGAGCCACAACUCCAGCUCCUGGGGUAUUUCUUUUAGAGAACUAGGCUGGCAUUCUACUGCUGAGCUAUACUCACAUGUACCCUAUUAGCCAUUUCUGUAAUCAAGGAAUUCCUGUUAAUUAUUUGGGGUCCUCACGGGUGUUCUAGUGGAGGGAAUUUUCUUUUUAAUUCACGUGUGUACAGUUGUUUUCUCUUUGGGAGCCAACCUCACAGAUGUUCUAGUGGAGGGACUUUUCUUUUUAAUUCAAGUGUGUACAGUUGUUUUCUCUUUGGGAGCUAAGGAUUUUGGGUGAGUACGGUUGUGCAAGGGGCUGAUUUUCAGUUUGUUAAAAGCAUAAAUCUUGAGGGUGUGUCAUUUUGGUAUGUUUAUUGUUUGUAGGCAUUCCUUUGCAGAAGAUCACUAUGUUGAGUUCAGUAAGCACUCUCAGGAUCGGGUCAUAGGCACAAAAGGAGACAUUGCCCAUGUGAGUACUUAAGCAUUCAUUGCUUUAAGCUGAUUUUACUCAUUUGUUCCUACUGAAAUCUUCUGGAUCGGAUGUGAGGACUUAAGUCUUACGGGUGGGUCACUAGAAAUACUCAAUGAUUUUCCUACCAGUUAAAAUCUAAAAGUGUAAUAAAGUAGUUUUAAGUUAUAUGGGAAGAAUAUGAAAGUGCUGAACAUGGAAUUUGAGAAAGAUAUUAAAGGCCAGCAGAUUCGUUGUUGAGUUCUUACUAAGUUUUAGUUAAAUUAAGGUCUGUGCCUUUUAUGGAGCCUGAAGCAGUAAAUAAAGAAACAAAUAUAUGCUGUAAUUAGGUGGUGUUGCAGGAAAAAAGAAAGUAAGAGGAAAUGCUUGUUGGAGGUGUGGGGGAUUUCUGUUUUAUCUGGGAUAGCCAACAUUACAGAUUGGUUACUGUUUGAGCAGAGCCAUGAAGGAAGCAUGAUUGAAGCAGAGAGGCAAAAGAGGUUGUAAGGCAGAGGGAAUGGAAGGGAAAAGCCCUUGCUUGCGGGGAGGGAAGAGAGGAGAGGGUAAGUGCUGAGGUCAGUGAUGACCCCAUAUUUUAUAGUUAGGACCAACCUUUGGCUUUUCCACUGAGUAAGAUGAAGACACUGGAUGGUGAUCAGAGGAUAUAUGAUUCAGUGUAAAAUUUCUAUAGUGGCUCUGGUUUCUUUGAGAGAGGCAAUAGCAGACCUUCCAGUUAGGCCAGAAGAUGUUGUACCAGCCUAUAUGUGAGAAGAGCAAUACAGCUGGGUACAUGUGGGCAUGGAGAGACCAUGAGAAAUGAUAGGCCAUGACCCUGGGGUUUUGGACACAUGAAGUUUGAAAUUCAUUAGACAUUCAGUAGGGAAUGGGGAGUGGAAUAUAUAUAUAUAUAUAUAUACAUACAUACAUACAUACAUACAUACACACACACACACACACACAGUUUGAGAGUUCAGGAGAAAGGUCUGGGAUGGGAGAUAUAAAUAUGAGUUAUAUAUACAUGGUGAUAGUAAUUAGAGCCAUGAACCUGGAUGAGAUCAAAGGGCUAAAGAUGAAAAAGAUUGUGAGGACAGAGCCCUGGUUGUUCCACUAUAUAAAAAUUGGCAAAUGUGGGAGAAAAUGUUGGCAAAUGAAGAUGGACUUGAGAAGGAGCUCUAGAGAGAGUGGCCAGUGAGGCAGAAGGAAGUCCAGAAGACAGGUACCCUAGAAACCAAUGAAAAUAAAUUUGAGAAAGGAUUGAUCAGUGAGUCAGAAACAGUUAAUGAAUUGUAGAAGAUGAGUACUGAAAGAAGACUAACAAUGUAGAGGUUGUUAACCUUGUCAAGAAAUAAUUCUGUAUUCUGGUGGAGCAAAACCUGAUUAGAGUGGUUCAUGAAAGAGCAGGAGAGAAAUGGACACACUUGUACAUGUAAUUUUUUUUAAAAAUAUUUUUGCUGAAAACCAAAGCAGAGAAAGAAGGGUCACACGUUGAGGAGUCUGUAGGAUGAAAUUUAGGGAUAAUUUUCUCCUAAAUUCUCAUUUGAAAAUAUUGAAACAUAGAAAAAUGAAAGAGUAGUAUAUAUAUAUUCACUUCCUAGAUAAGUUUAAUAUUUUGCCAUAUUUUGUAUGUAAAUGUGUAUGUGUUGUUUUGAAUUAUUUUGAAGUUGAAAAUUAUAAGCAUCAUCAUGGCAUUUUUAUCCUUCAGUAUUAUGGUGUGUAUCUCCUAACAAUAGAUAUUUUGAUAUAAAAUCAUUUAGCAAAUUUAAGAAAAUUGUAGUAAUUCCCAAAUAUUAUUUGAUAUUUAGUCCAUACUCAAUUUUCCCAUUUGUUCCUGAUGUAUUUGGUUUCAAAUGUUUGUUUGUUUUUUUUGAACCAGGAUCCAGCCAAGAUUCACACAUUGCAUUUGAUUGUUAUGUCUUACUAAUGUUUUAAAGCCAAGAACCAUUUCUCCAGUUUUCAUGACAUUGACUUUUGAAGAGACCAGGCUAGUUGUCUUAUCCCAUGAUAUGAAUUUGUUUGUUUCCUUGUGGUGUUUCCUUAUUUGUUUCAAAGAAAAGAUUUGAAGUAAUAUAGUGUGUCUGUAAGCUGAUGGGAAAGAUCUGGUCUCUGCAUGUGUUGCAUAUUGUAGACUUUGAAAACUUUUAAUAUGGUGGGGCUAAAAUGUUUACAUUGGGAGAUUUUAUGGAGAAAAGAUUAUUUCAUUGAUGUCUUUCUCCAGAAAAUAACACUUUAAAGAGUAUUCUGUGGGUAAUCAAUGAUUGAUAUGGACAAUUUUUUUUAAGUUGUUUAUGCAUCUUUAUUUUAUUUAUUUGUAUAUGGUGUUGAGAAUUGAACCCAGUGCUUCACACAUGCUAGGCAAGUGCUCUACCACUGAGCUACAACCCAGUUGUUUCAGUGUAAAUGUUUUCUGUUUCUUGAAAAGGGGAAGGGAAGGAAAAUUUGUUUUUCUUAAGUGCCUACAUAGUUUCACUUCUCUUUUUCUUACUAGUGGGAAAGGGCUUUUUUAAGAUUUGACUAUGAAACAAAGCACUUAAACUUUGCUUGAAUGGGUAUGAUCUUCUUACCAGUCAUUUUACAGUAUUAGGGCUUUUGUAAUUUGUCAGGGUAGGGGUAGGGGAAGCUUAGAAAGCAUGGGAGAAGCAUUUUAUACAGUUUCUCUUUAAAUUUGUCUAUGGACGGAUUGGUCUGAUUUUUCUCUUCCCACCCCUUCUUCUCUAAAGAUUUAUGAUAUUCAGACUGGCAACAAGCUGUUGACUCUGUUUAACCCAGAUCUUGCCAACAACUACAAGAGGAAUUGUGCCACCUUUAAUCCUACAGAUGAUCUUGUCUUAAAUGAUGGCGUCCUCUGGGAUGUCCGCUCUGCACAGGCCAUUCACAAGUUUGACAAGUUCAACAUGAACAUCAGUGGCGUUUUCCAUCCAAAUGGGCUGGAGGUCAUCAUUAAUACUGAAAUUGUAUCCUUUGCACUCCAUUUGUUAUCCAGUUUGUUAAGCAGAAGUUCUUUUUUUUUUUUCUUUGUUUUUUCCACAUCCAGAGAUUUAUUCUUAUUUGCCAAACAAAUUAUUUUGUUAUAAUUCACAAUUUUCUAGAGACCUAUCUCACCCUAGAUAAAACUAGCAUUUACAACCAUUAUUACUACAUAAUUUUGACACAGUAGAAUCCAGGGGUUGCCAAUUUUCUUUUUAACCAUAGUACUGAUUUAUUAACCCUGGGGUGCUGGAUUUUUUUUUUUUUUAAUUUUAAUUUUUUUUUUUUAGUCAUACAUGACAGUAGAAUGCAUUUUGAUAUAUAAUACAUAAAUGGAAUGUACAUACAUCAAUCAUAUUGUCUAUUCUGCUUCCCUUCCUAUCCUCCCUACUCCUCCUCUCCUCUCCCAUCCUUUCUCUCUAUCCAAUCUAAUGUGACACACUUUUUUUUUCUUUUUUCAUCACAACAUCAUAUAUGUAUUCUGUAUAACAAUGAGGUUCUCCUCCCAUCUUCUGGGCAACUCCCCUUCUCCCUCUUUUUCCCUCCCACCUCUCUUCCCUAUUUAGUGGUAGUCGUCUUCUUAUGCUCUUCCUCCCUAUCCCAUUUUGAGUCACCCUCCUUAUAUCAGAGAAGACAUUCGGCAUUUAUUUUUUAGGGAUUGGCUAACUUCACUUAGCAUAAUCUGCUUUAAUGCCAUCCAUUUGCCUGCAAAUGCUAUGAUUUUAUUAUUUUUUAGAAGCAGAAGUUCUUUCUAGCAGUACCAGGUUAAAGUAUCCACACUGAUAAUAAUGUGGUGCCUCUCCUUUGGUUUGAAAUGUUAGUGAGUUUCCAGUGGACUAUAUUGUUGUUAUUGGGAAUUAAUGAUGACUUUAACUAGCAUAUUUUCUAUGUUUUAGGAAGAGUGACUAGAUUCCUGGCUAUCAUUAUCAAAUUGAUUUUUGUUUAUCUUUGGAAGGAUUUUACUUUUGCUCUAUAGAAAUCAGUUGCUAGACAUAAGAAAAUGAAGUGCUACUACAGGGAAGAGGGAAUUCACGUAGCAUUUAUUUACAUAAAGAGUAUACUGGGGACAUCAUUCAAUAAUAUCUAUGACUUUUAAAGUAUCAGUACCUAGCAAGAGGGGAACAAAAGUGAUGUUUCAGAAUUUCCAUGAGGUUAGAUAAGAACUUUUGUGUGAAAUAGUUUUCCUUGACUACUCCUUUUCCAAGUGGGACCUUCGAACUUUCCAUCUUUUACAUACUGUUCCUGCUCUGGAUCAGUGUCGUGUGGUGUUCAACCACACGGGAACAGUGAUGUAUGGAGGUAAUAAACUUUUCACUUCAUUCUCUUUUCUUCUACUCACUUAAUUGGAUACUUCUUUUUUUGGAAAUUCUGCUUUUGUGAGAAGCACUUUAAAGUUCUGACGUAGAUGAAAAGGUUAGUGCGGUGGUAACAAAAAAGAAGGUUAAAAAUAACAUUGAUUUAGAAUGAAAGGCAACUAACUUUGAAGUCAACAAAUCUUGUAUAGAAAGAAAUUUUAUGCUAUGAUUUCCACACAUAUGUCUUAAAAACCUUUUUAUUUAUUGUUUUAGGAUGUUGUAAGCCUUCAGCUGUUACAUUUAUUGUGGGCUAGAUGAGAAGUUGAGGACAUUGUUUGCCACCAAUAGAUUGGAUAUGCAAGGAAGACAGUUUGAGAGGAACUAACUAAAUACAGGGAAACUGACUGAAAUCUUGAUUGGCCAUUAAAAUUUUCUGCACUUGUGAAUAUGGAAUGUUUCUGAUUCUUAACAGUAUUUUAUUAUUCCCCUGUCCCCAACUAGCUAUGUUGCAGGCAGAUGAUGAAGAUGACUUAAUAGAAGAGAGGAUGAAAAGUCCUUUUGGUUCAUCCUUUCGCACAUUUAACGCAACUGAUUACAAACCUAUAGGUAAGCAUGUAGGGGCAGGUAUUGAUCAUUUUUUCCCCUCUUAUUUGAGGUACUGGCAGUUGUAUCCCCCAUAUUUUUUUAUUUUUAAGACAGGGUCUCUCUAAGUUAUACAGGUUAGCCUUGAACUCGUGAUCUUCCUGUCUCAGUCCUCCAAGUCACUGGGAUUACAGGCAUGCACCACUAACACAUGUUCAUGUAUUAGUUGAAUCAUUUGUUCUUUUUCUUUGUUUUUAGUACCAGGGAUUAAACCCACUGAGCCACAUCUUCAGCUCUUUUUAAAAAAAUUUAAAAUUUUUUUUUUUUCUGGUUAUUUCUUUUUUUUAAUUUGUUUUAAUUAAUUACACAUGACAGUUUAAUGAUCUUGACAUAUCAUAGAUUUGAAUCAGAUGGGGUAUAAUUUCUCAUUUUUCUGAGUGUACAUGUUGCAGAAUCACAUUGGUCAUACAGUCUGGGUAUUUCUUUGUAGGAAAAAAUUUUAAAUUUUGAGACAGGGUCUCACUGAGUUGCUGAGGCUGGCUUUAAACUUGCAAUCCUCCUGCCUUCCUCCCAAAUUGCUGGGAUUGCAGAGUCAUGUACCACUGCACCCAGCUCCAGGGAGCUUUCUUUACGUCUUAAUGUUACUUUUUUUUUUUUUUAAGAGAGAGAAUUUUUUUUUUUAAUAUUUAUUUUUUAGUUUUUGGCGGACACAACAUCUUUGUUUGUAUGUGGUGCUGAGGAUCGAACCCGGGCCACACGCAUGCCAGGCGAGCGCGCUACCACUUGAGCCACAUCACCAGCCCUUAAUGUUACUUUUAAAGGUCCUCCACUUUCCAGGAGGACUGUAACUUUUCACUGAAAAUCAGAGGAGUUUUGGUAAUAUUUAUGAAUAAUCACUUUAACUUCCUAUAGAAGAAAAGCAGGUUUUAAGGUCACAGCUAUAAGUCCAGUCCUGAGUCUUGUCACAUUCUGUUUUUCAGCAACCAUUGAUGUGAAGC
Molecule: long non-coding RNA, 23821 nt
Filed under: Marmota monax (woodchuck)
Lineage: Eukaryota; Metazoa; Chordata; Mammalia; Rodentia; Sciuridae
Rfam family: tRNA (bases 606-674)
Source: RNAcentral